GUGAGUGGAUGCUCAGCCCAUGUGUCAGCUGGUUGCACAGUGUACUCCUCACCCUCGCUGAGAGCUUUUGUGGCAGAUGAAGGGAGCUGCCUGUUCGGUGGGGUCACUGCUCUCUUUGUAGGAGAAAUGGAAUUUUCCUGCAUGUAUUCAGUUCCCAUACCGUAUACUGAAUACAGUAAUGUUCUUAGUGAGCAGUGCUAGCUACCUACAUAAAGCCAUUUUGUUAAUCUUGUGACUGUUGUGUGAUUACAAUUAAUUAGCUACCUGUAGCAUGCUAUAAAAAUGUAUUGGAUUAAUUUUGUUUGGUACAACGGAGUGUGGUUGAAGGUUGUACUUCAGCUGUGUGCUUGGUUCUGCCCUAAUUAAAAUUCUCAUGCGAAUGAAAGCAAUGUCUUACACAGAGACUGAUAUUUCUGAUAUCAUAGUUUCAGCCUAAUUGCUUAUUAUGAUGUUUAAAUGAUUGGCCUUGUUAAUUUAACAUGUUUUCCCCAAAGUGGGACGGAAUAUUUAUUUGCAUUUGAAUUGUGGCAGUCAGACAGCUCCCGCCUGCAGAAAUGACUGCUGUUUCACAUUCACCUUUCAGGUUUAAAAGCGGCAGUAGCAAAGUGCUCAUUGCAGUGGCAGUACUUGGGUUUCAUUUGGCUUGGGUGAAGCCAGAUGUGCUGGCUAUGGGACUGUGUACUGUCAGUCAUGGAAAUGCAUUCAUAUAAUCUCCUGAAAUAGAUCUUCAGUGAAGAGAAGGAAGAAAGUAAUGCCGGAUGAAGGCUGCUGAAGUAGUGAAGAAAUCUUGUAUGUGUCAGGAAUUCAAAUAUAUAUGUACAUAUAUGCAUCUGAUUUGAGAACCUCUGAAACAAUGUGAUUGAUAGAACUGAUGGAAUGUUUUUUGGUUUCAUUUUGCGGCAUGACAGCAGAGUUGACUGAAUUCUCAACUUUGUACAAACAGCUUUUAAAAGCAAAAUAAAAUUGCAACUGCAGUGAAAUGUUAGUGUGCUUAUGCAAAUACCUGUUUCAGUCACACAGUGUAUUUUAACUCGCUUGUUCUCAGUCUACAGUGAGUUUAUCACUGACAAGUAUCAGGGAGUUGCUAUGGAUAUGUAGCAUAUGUAUAAAUGCAAACAUACGCAUAUACAUAUAAAUGCAUAUACAUAAAUAUACGGAUGUAUAUGUAUAUAUACAGCAUGUAUGUAUAAAUAUGGAGUAGGUCCAGGGGAGGGCCACUGAAAUGGUCAGAGGGCUGGAGCACCUCUCCUAUGAGGAAAGGUUGAGGGAACUGGGCUUGUUUAGCUUGGAGAAGAGAAGACUCCAGGGAGACCUCAUUGUGGCCUUCCAGUACUUGAAGGGAGUAUAUAAACAGGAGGGGGAGUGGCUGUUUAUGAGGGUGGAUAGUGAUAGGACAAGGGGGAAUGGUCUUAAACUGAGGCAGGGGAGGUUUAGGUUGGAUAUUAGGAGGAAGUUUUUCACCCAGAGGGUGGUGAUGCACUGGAUCAGGUUGCCCAAGGAGGUUGUGGAUGCCCCAUCCCUGGAGGCAUUCAAGGCCAGGCUGGAUGUGGCUCUGGGCAGCCUGGUCUGGUGGUUGGUGACCCUGCACAUAGCAGGGAGGUUGAAACUCAUUGAUCAUUAUGGUCCUUUUCAACCCAGGCCACUCUAUGAUUCUAUGAUAUAUAUAUGUAUUAUACACAGUUGUCUUUAAAAGAACUGGAAACUGACCCUAUCUUUAUUAACUCAGUAACCUGGACAUGUAAGAAAAAAGCCUCAAAUACUAAAAAUGGUACAAAAGCUUUUGGCUGAUGCAAGAGACAACUUGAGGUCUAGGCAGUGAGGGAAAUCAAAAACAGGUAAAGGAGCAGAUUAAGACAUAAUAGCUACCAUUAGGUUUUUAAAAUAAAAAAUACAUGAAUUCAAAAAAUGUGAUGUUUUAUGAUUGGUAAUUUGUGCAAAACAAAUUUGUACAAGACAAAUUAACAACGGAAACCAAGAAACUGACUGCAUUGAAUUUAUUUUGCUUUAACUGAGAGCUUUAAAUGCUUUUCUAGCUUGACAUUGAGUGUGAUAGAGGAAAACCAGUGGUAAACCAAUGGAAACCAAUGGAAACCAAUGGAAAACCAUUACAGGGCAUGCUUGAAAUACAUUUAACUUUCUAACAAGUCUAGAAAAGAUUAACCCAGAUGAAAAUGUUUCUGAAAACAAAUACCUCUGACAAAGAUUCUUUACACCGUAGGUCAGCAGGUAGUAAAAUACCUAUUAGAAAAUCUGAUGAGCAUUUCUUAGUCAAAUAACUACUGUGUCCUUCUUUAAGGAGUAAUAAGUACACAGUAUCGGCAGAGUAGUUCCUGUAGGUCAUACCCAAAUUUACUUUUGAUGUUUGUAUACAAAUAUUGGUUGCAAAGGGUCAAGCAUAAGUUUUAACAACAAUCUGGAUUGUGAAUCACUCUUGUGAGCUCUUCCAUCCCAAGAUGCUGAAAAUGAAAGUCUUUAAACUUGCAUCCUUUCUUACGCCUGCUCAAGAACAUUCCACAGCUCUAAGGAAUAUCAUUCCAAGUGCAGAGCACGGAUGCUGGGCCUGGGCAGUAUGCAGAGAUUCCCUACUGAGUUUCUGCAGGAUCUUAGAGAGCCCCAGAUAGCCAGGGAAAAUUGUUAAGAGGUCAAGGACUGUAGAGCAGCCAAGCAUCUGAUCUGGCAUUAAACAUGACUUUGGAGGAAGAAACUAUCCCUCUUAUGGUAAGUAUAACCUGAUUCUGUAAACAGUUGUUUAUUCUGUAACUUUCACAGUGAAAACCAUUGCUGUAGGAGUUUUGGUUCCAGAAUCAGUCUCCAGUCUGUUCAUCCACUACCACCAAAAAAUUUUCCUAACGGAAAGCAAGAUGUGCAUUUCUCUAUAGGACAAAGAUGUAGCUGGGAAGAGGGAAUUCGGGAGUUGUCAGAUUCUUGUAGUUAAACCUUUUUCUCCUCCAAAUUAUAACAUAGUAGAACCAUAGAAUGGCUUGAGUUGAAAGGGACCUCAAGGAUCAUGAAGCUUCAGCCCCUCCACUACAGGCUGGGCCACCAACCUCCAUAUCUAAUACUACACGAGACUGCCCAGGGCCCCAUCCAACCUGGCCACGAACACCUCCAGGGACGGGGCAUCCACAAGUUCUUUGGGCAGGCUGUUCCAGCACCUCACCACUCUGUUGUGAAGAACAUUCCCCUGAUAUUGAACCUAAAUCUUCCCUCCUCCAACUUGAAACCAUUUCCCCUUGACCUGCCAUUAUCUACCCUUUUGAGGAGUUGACUCCCCUCCUGUUUGUAGGCUCCUUUUAGGUACUGGAAGGCUGCAGUGAGGUCACCCCUCAUCCUUCUCUUCUCCAGGCUGAACAAGCCCAGCUCCCUCAGCCUGUCUUUGUAGGUGAGGUGCUCCAGCUCUCUGAUCAUCUUUGUGGCCCUCCUCUGGACCCUCUAACAUUCCAUUUUCUGGAACAUUUGACUUUUCAGUGCCUCUAAAAUAUAUUUUCUUGUAAUUUUGUAUUGUUUUUGAUGUGGUAAAAUUCUAAUAUGGCCUCGCUUCUAUGUUAAUUAAGAAAUAGCACAUGGUUACAUUUCAGCUGGACACUUGCUAAUAGAAAAGCACCAUUUGGACUUAGUCUGCCUGUGGCUGUACUUCUCAUAAUAAAAUCACUUCUUGAUGCCUCUGUUUCCCUUCAGUCUGCAUCUUGUCAGCUGGAAUUGCGUGCCCCCUCUGAGAAAGAAACUGUCUCCCAGUACUUAGUACCAUGGAUGCCUGGUCCCAGCUGGAACCUCUUUGCAUUACUCUUACACAAAUAAUAUGGAAAUAAUUGAAUCCCACCAGUGACAAACCUAAUAAUCCAACAGCAGCUUGUUCAAACUCAGAUGAUGCUGGGAUCAUUGUGCUGAUACAAGACAGACUUUGUUGUCUGACUGCUAAUACGGGCACCUCAGUGUGGCUCCUGUGAGUGGAGACAUGGCUUUUGGACUUGCAUCCUGGCAAGCUGGGAUGCUCUGUGUAACCUAUAGGUGGUUGUCAGCUGAAAUUUCUCAGUAGUUACAUGCCUUUCUGCUCCUCCAUUUGAAUUACUAAGUCUGUAAUAGAAUUACAGAAUAUCUAUGCCAGAAAUGUUUACACAGCAGGCAGCAUGCCAAAGGCUUGAUGAUAUCAUAACUUAAUUAAAUGUGAGUGUAUGUAUGAACUAAAAGAUAAUUCAGUUGAGCUUAGGGUAUAUGGCCUCUCCUUACCAUGCUUUCCUGCUUAACCUACAACUUCUUGGCCAGAUGAUUUUUGUCUUCUGCAAAGACAAGAAGUCUUUUUUAUGAUGCUGAUUACAUCCCAAGCUCGUUCACAAAUACUACAUAAUUACAGCACUUUCCUCUUCCUGUUCACAUUCUUCUACCUUUUUCACUUUUCUUUCCCCCAGACUAACACUGCUUCUAUUUUUUCCUGAUACAAUAAAUCUACAUGUGACUUCCCAGAUUUCUUCCUUCUCCUCUUCCUUUCUCUUAAACAGCCCUAUUAUCUCUCUUCAAACUAUGUGCUCUUUCUGAGGCUGAUUUUUAUUUCUUUCUCCCAGUCCUAGGUUUUCCUUCACCCGUUCCUUUGUCCUCACCCAUCUCAGGCGUCUGCCUGCCCUGUGCUCGCUGCAGAGGUGGGGAAGACACCUCUGGUUGCACUGGCUACAACCACGAGAUGGCACUGUUUGCGGGCUGGAUGUCACCUGUCCAAAUCCUCGCGGAGGUGAUGCCCCUCCUUGAAGAGCAACGUGAUAGUAACGUUAUGUUUCUAAUUUGGUUCAUUAGAGAUCUUCAGUGUAUCCUUAUGAGGCAGGAGCUGGCCUUAAAAACGAGUGAGCAGUGCCAGGAUUUGUGCCUCACGUCUCACUGGCUCACUGCUAUUACCUAUCCUUUCAAAGAGUUGACUCUCCUCCUGUUUAUAGAGUCCCUUUAGGUACUGGAAGGCUGAAAUUAGGUCGCCCCGCAGACUUCUCUUCUCCAGGCUGAACAAGCCCAGCUCCCUCAGCCUGUCUUUGUAGGUGAGGUGCUCCUGCCUUCUAAUCAUCUUUGCGGUCCUUCUCUGGACCCUCUCCAACAGGUUUUAAUGUCUUGACAUACAACCAGUUUCCUACUUUUCUUUCACUGGCUGUGCAGAAUCUGUAUGCUGGCCACAAGAAGUGAGAAGUGUAGUGAUCAUGGGA
Molecule: long non-coding RNA, 5180 nt
Filed under: Gallus gallus (chicken)
Lineage: Eukaryota; Metazoa; Chordata; Aves; Galliformes; Phasianidae
Description: lncRNA (ENSGALG00010007477.1)
Source: RNAcentral